CAUAGGAAAUGUACGAAAUUCGGAGCCACAGCCUCAGAGGACUUUUCCGUAAAAUUUCACCGCUUCCCUAAACUGGGAGAGGGAAAAAAUAUUUUAAGGUGGAAUUUCCGGUAGCUCUUCAGACCCAGCCAGUCUACAGGAUGUAUCAGAAGCACUGCUAGUUGCUGGUGCUGAACGUAGAUAAUGGUCUAAUAAGUAGAAGAACGGCCGGUAGAAGUUUAUAGCCGAGUUUAAAAUCGAUAACAGACUCAAUUUUUUAAAGAAUAAAGAGGCAGGCAGAGUACCUUCAGACAGUUGUAAUGAUAUAGAACAAGAAGCGAGGACGAUGACGCAGUGAUAUCAAAUAAUAUGAAAAAGUUUUUUGACGGCGCGUCAUGUGCUCAGAACGUAAAAACGUCUAUGGAUAGAAAAUUAAUGAUGAUGGGCAAACUGUGAAGUACCUUCAGAUAGUAGUAAUGAUAUAGAACAAGAAGCGAGGAGGAUGACGAAGUGAUAUAAAACAAUAUGAAAAGUUUUUUCACGACGCGGCAUGUGCUCCAAACGUAAACAUCUAUAAAUAAAUACUUAUUAAUGAUGAUGGGCAGACUGAGGUACCUUCAGAUAGGAGUAAUGAUAUAGAACAAGAAGCGAGAACGAUAACGCAGAGCUAUCAAAUAAUACAAAAAGUUUUUUGUCGACGCGCCACGUGCUCAGAACGUAAACGUCUAUGAAUAGAACAUCAUUGAUGAUGCUUAGACGCCUUAGACUGAGGUACCUUCAUAUAGUAGUAAUGAUAUAGAACAAGAAGC
Long non-coding RNA from Leguminivora glycinivorella, 788 nucleotides. RefSeq lists it as uncharacterized. The record is from RefSeq and is a predicted model, not a curated record. The transcript is spliced from 3 exons. NCBI's taxonomy places the organism in Eukaryota, Metazoa, Arthropoda, Insecta, Lepidoptera, Tortricidae.